Long non-coding RNA from Penaeus indicus, 4304 nucleotides. RefSeq lists it as uncharacterized. The transcript is spliced from 2 exons. NCBI's taxonomy places the organism in Eukaryota, Metazoa, Arthropoda, Malacostraca, Decapoda, Penaeidae. The record is from RefSeq and is a predicted model, not a curated record.
AUAUAUACCUUUACACACACACACACACACACACACACACAAAAUAUAAUUUUUUUUUUAUAUAAACACACAGACAUAUCCUAAAAGUUCAGUAGGUUUAUUUCCGUCCAGCUUAUAAUCAGGAUCCCACCAAAGUAAAACACUAUAUUAUUGGAAUUUAAUCUGUCCCCAAGAUCUUAAUGCAUGCAUGUCCUGACUACAAUGGGCUGUCUCAUUAAAUUCACAUGCUGAGGUUAUUUCAUACUAGAGCUUCUUGUAGUCUUACUCAUUUUUAACCCACUGGCACCAGGUACAUAAGCUGUCCAUUGUAGUUUUUCUGAAUUUUGAUUAGACAUGAAUCUCUCCUCACUGAGUCACCAAGUUGAUUAGUAUCAUCACAAAUGUCAAUAUUUUUAUUUCUUAUUCUUUCUGGUGUUAUGAUUGUUGCAUUUUUAUGAUUAAAACUAAUGGUAAAGAAUAUAUCUUUCCAAAAAUCAGGAAAAGAGUAAAAAGGAUAAGAUGAAGUAGGCCUAUUACUUUACUAUGUCUUGGUGAUGAGGCACAUCUGGAGUCAAAUAUAUUUAGACAAAAUUAAUAAACUAAAAUCACAGUGGACUGGGGAUAUAUAUACACAUCCUCUCCUGGUGUCAUUGAGUUGAUGUCCCAGGUUCCUGAACAGAUAAAAUAAGGGACAAUUUACACACCAAUAAACUUGAAACACACACAUGCACACAUGCAUGCAUGCACGCACACACACACACAAACACAGGGACUUGCACACGCACACCCACCCACACACAUGCACGCACGCGCGCACACGCACACACGCAAACACAUGCAAACAAUGCACACACACACACACACACACACAGAGGUUUUAAAUGACAUAAUGCUGUCAUAAUGGGUCAUUCAAAAUCCAUUGGUAUUAUUAAAGAUGGUUUGUAAUAUUGGAUCUUCCCUGUUUUUGUUUUAAAUUGUGUAAAAUAUAUUCUGUUGAGAUAAAUGUACUGUUUAUGGUAAUUUUACAACGAUGGUAAACUUUCAGAGUACUCAGUUUGAUGGACAUCAGAUUAGGCUUUUUUAGGUUAACAACAAUUUUUGGAACACGGACAAAACACUUCAAGGAAGGAUGAAGAUUGAUAUUUAUUUAUUUGUUUUAAAUUUUUAUUAUUAUUAUUUUUUGUCUUGCUGAAGCAGUCUAUUGUAGAAAAGUUCAGAUGUGCCAAGAAUAGCGUUUUAAAAGGCCAAUAGUUUGCCAAUAGUAUAGCAGCCUUUUGGAAUUUGGCAUUUUUCCUUCAUUGAACAAUAACGAUGCCAUACGCACAAAAAGAUUAUACCGUUAUGAUAUACCGAGUAGUUCUGUUUCUUGAGAGUAAUGAAAGAGUAAAGAGUAGCCUUUGUGAUAAUAAUGAAAUAGAUUGAAAGUUUUACAUUAAAUUUGCCAGGUAGUUAUAUUGGAGAACUAACAUCCCAGUGAUAAGGUAGGCAUUUUCUAAUAAAGCCUUUUGGGAAAAAUAUUGCAGUUCCCACUAUGUUUUUCCAAUUUUUUCUGUUGUGUUGUUUUACGUAAUAUCGGUUUGUUUACACGAUGAUUGUUUUGUCAUGAUUUCUUCUGUAACGUGUGAUUUGAUAGUGUGUACAGUUUGAAUUUAUAUGAUUCUUUGAACAUUCCAGAUUUGGUAUUUAAGAAACAUGUAGAACCUUUUUUUUUUCAGCUGAGCAGAAGAAAAUCCUUGACUGAUAAUAUUAAAAGAAUCUUGGCAUGUUAUAUGUAAAUCCAUAUGUAAUUUUUACCCUAUUUAUUUGUUAUCAUACUCAAAGGUAUGAUAUAAAGUUUGGAGAUAAAAUUGAAUCAAGGCAUAAAGUAAUAUUAAUUUCUAACCGACAAGCACAUUGAUGCUUUUUGUUAAUCCCAGAAUUGUUUUAAUCCCCCCCCCCCCCCAUUUGUCAACGAAUGAGACUUGAGAUAUGAUGGAGGAUUUUUACUUCUGCUAACAGCUUAAAAAAUAUUAUUUACUAUAACCAUUUCUUCAGGAAAAAAUAUUUUCUCGCUGCUUGUAAAGAUAAUUUGUAUAUAUUGACACUUGGAAGAAAUAUAUAUUUAAAAUGUACUGGAUUAUUGUUUUAGGCACCAAGCUUUAAUUUAGUUCAGGUUGAAUUAUUCCCCCCCACAAAAAUACAAUUGAUGCAGAUGAAGAUAUUAAAUAUAAGCUGCUCUUGAUCAGUCAAGAAUUUGAAGGUGUGUUGUGUCCUUCAACAUACCAGGAAUUUAGCAUUGAUUGCCUGUAUUAAAGGUUUGCUAAUUUGUGGAUGUAACCUGUAAUCUCUUGUUUUUAGAUCCCCAUACACAACAAGUAUUUGUAGUAGUAAGUGAAUUGUCCUUUCUUCACAUAGUUGUAGUUCUUGGAGUUUUUUCUUUGCUUCCUUUUUUAAAAAUAUUUAUUCUUAAUUCUAAUCUUUUCAUUUGCCCACUGUUACAAGGUCUUCCAAUAUCUUCCAUAACUGCCAACUGCCGUGCAUUGUUUUCCAGAGACUUCCAGAAAUAUGUUAAUUUGCAAAAUAUAGGAUGUUCCUUUUAAAAUUUAACACUUUAGAAAAAUAAAUAAAAGUAAGACUUAAAGAUAAAAAAUAUUGAUGAACAAAUGAGAAAAGUGUGUUAAUAAAAUCAAUUUUUUUUUCAUAAUUACAUUCAAGUUAUUUUGUCAUUAUAAUUAUAUUCAAGUUAUUUUGUCAUUAUAAUUAUAUUCAAGUUAUUUUGUCAUUAUAAUUAUAUUCAAUUAUUUUGAUCCAUCUUUAAGCUUAUAUUCAGACUCCUAGGCCACCCAAACUAGAAGGCUGGACUUGCUUCUCGCACCCGUCCCCCAGUCACAUUCGAGACAGUCUGUGAUUGGCUGAUGGGCUCAAGAUGCCGGUCCAGCUUUCUGUUGCAGGUGUCCCAAGUGUCUCUGAAUAUGAGUAUUAGUGUGGUGCUCAUAUCUGGGCUUCACAAGAACCACAUAUGUGUAUCAUUUAUCUGUCUAGCUUUAAUAAAGUUAGGUAGUAAAUUUGCUGUAAGUACAAGUAAAUUAUUGUGUUUUAAAAGUUAAAUCAGAAUACAAUUACUCUGGGAAAAUUAAGGGUAAUGCAUGUUUACCAGUCAUAAAUAAUCAAAUGCAUGGACUGUAAAAUGGGGACAGGUAAUGGUAUUUCUUGUACAAAAGGUGUAGAAAAUAAUGUAAGAGACUGAAUUAUACAUAUGUUUUGGAGUGUAUUAUUGCUGCUAAAACUUUGGAAACAUCAUUAAUUUUCCUUCAGGAUUAGUGACUUUCUAUAUUAUGGUCAAGGGUAAUCUACUCUAGAAAAAAUAAUUGAGAACUAUUCCGUCAAAGCCAAAUAACCUCAUGUGUUCUACAUAUCCAUUUUUCAUUAAACCAAGACAUUGUGAAAUUUGAAUGGACAAUCCCCAUGCAUAAAGUAUUGCAUGUAAGUCUGAGGUCCUUCUGAUGUAAUAAGUUUUCAUAAUUUAUAUUUAGUUGUCAGAAUGUUUGUGAAUAGUAUUGAUAUUAUAGUACUAUAAGUAUAAAAGGGUAGAAAAAAAAAAUGGACUAAAAUAAAUACAUAUGAAAUUUAAGAAAUAGAAAUGCAGUGUUAGAUGUCUGGUUAGUAACACUUUCUGUUAAACUUGAAUACUGAGUUUUGAAAACACAACUGUAGAAUCAUAUUUAAAUCAGACCAUUUUUCCCACUGUACAUAUACAUAAACCAUCUGAUUUGAGUAGAUUUUGUCUUGCCAUAAUUAACUGUAAGUAACUAGUAAGUUUCCUUUCCUUAUAACCGAAAACAAGUGAGUAGUCAUAUAUUUUGAGAUCCAUGUUAUACAUCUUAAAGGCUUCUAUUUAGUUUUACAUGUAUAAAAAUAAUGUUUACAUCCCUUCUGACAGGUUUAAUCUUCAGUUGUAAUUGUUUUUUAAUGUCUCUCCUUGGCAUGUUAUUUUGCCAUAUUAUGUAUCUUAUAUCUUUAAUCUGGCUUGAAGCUUCUUCUUAUGGAAUCCUUACUACUAGACUUGUUUAAUAUUAUGCAUUGCCAAAUAGGUGUAAAUCUUAAAAGUUCCAACUUUAUAUACACAUACAUGUAUGUCUUUAUCAGAGUUUAAAGUUGUUAGAUUUUAAUUUAUACUAAUCAAGCUGACAAAGAAUAUUCGACGACAAGUCCACGACACCUCUUCCUGUUCUCAGGCUGGCUGAAGGGAGACCUACAUACAAUAUAUAUUUUAUACUUACUCAUGUACAUUUCUUCACUCAUAGAAUGGCUACUGUUAUUCUUACAAUUAAAUUUUUUUUAUAUAA